Long non-coding RNA from Pipistrellus kuhlii (Kuhl's pipistrelle), 6202 nucleotides. RefSeq lists it as uncharacterized. The record is from RefSeq and is a predicted model, not a curated record. Lineage: Eukaryota; Metazoa; Chordata; Mammalia; Chiroptera; Vespertilionidae. The transcript has 2 exons.
UUUACUCCCCCAGUGCGCAGGCGCGGGAACGAAGCCUCUGGUUCUUAAAGACGCAGGAAGGAGUUGACCUAUUUGUGUCGGGGUUCUUCUUCGCAUAGGGUUGGUUCAUGACGACGGCCCAGGCUCGGUUCUGUGAAGACCAAGCGUCAAGGUGCUCAGCUGACCCCUGUGGCUUGAAUCAUUAUUUUCCUCUACCCUCGGCUUGGCUCUCCUUAAAAAAAAAAAAAAAUCAAUCAUUCGCUCCUUCCUUCCGCAGACACCUAUUGAGCUUGCCUCGUGCUGGGCUGUAUGUAGGGUCACUAUGAGCUCACAGCAUGGCGGUGGAGGCAACCAGGUAUACACACAACCCCCAUAAGGUGAGGCCAAGUGCUAACGGAGAGCAGAGAAGGGACUGACUGCAUCCCCUCUGGGGAAGAGGCAGUGGCCAUGACGGUGUUGUGUUUGAGCUGCAUGUUAAAGAAUGAGGCGUUAGCCAGAGUGAGUCCUGAAGAAAACACUCGAGGCAAAAGGAACAGAGUACAAAUGUAGGGAGGGGUGAAAAGGCCAGGUGUGUUUAGGAAUGGGGAGCGAGCGAGAAUUGUGAAUGAGAAGUGAGAUCCCUUGGGCCUCAGCAUAAACAUCAGUUCCUUGGGGAAGCCUUCCCUUAGCCUCAGACGGGCUCGGAUCCCCUUGCUGUAUGUUCUCAGAGCCUCCUGUAGUUCUGUCAGAAUGCACCUACAUUUAUGUAGAGAGAUCUGUCUCAAGGUGUGAGGUAAAAUGUGAAAUAAGCAUCUCAGUCUCAUUGUGAUUACAAAGGCGUGGUGGGUGGUAGUUCGACUUGUAGCUCUAAAAACACUUAUAGCCCAUGUUUGUUUUUAUUCUGAGAAUGUUGAGAUUGGGGUUAAGCGGGUAAGCAUUUUCUUAGCGGAUUUCCUGUGAUAACAAUUGGGAGUCAUAAGCAGCUUCAGUGGAUCCUGUGAUCACUUGUGGAAUUGAAGACUGUUAUUCCAGCUGGCCCCAGCCGUUAGUCUCAUGACACUUUACUCUUUGCCUCUCACCUCACACCAUGAUAUCUGCUAGCAACCCAGUAGCCACAAUUUCCUCUCUCCACAGGCCAGACUCAAGUCUGUGGUCCAAGCAAGAUCUACUUUCCACAUCUAUAUCUCUCAAAUUUGAAGGGCAGUUCUUGCUAUACACUUGCUCUCCAUACCUCACCUACAAUAGGAAUUAAAAUUUAAUAGGUCUGUGAUAAAUAUUUGUGGAUAAAUGAGAUAGGGCCCUGCUCUCACAGAGGGUACAUUCUAGUUGAGGAAACAGGCCAUAAUAAAUUCAAUACAUACGCAGGAACUCAGUUUGUGAUAAGUAAUUAUGAAGGGAAGAAAUGGAGGUGAUAAAAAGUAACCACAGCAAAGAGGGGCUACUUUAGGUGGAAGAGUAAGUAGUGAUCCAGGUGAGUAAUGACAGUGGCUUUGACUAGGGAGCAGCAGUGGAGAGAGAGAGGUGGUACAGCUUUUGUGGUGGAAUUGGUGAUUGAUUAAAAGGGGGUAAGAGGGAGAGUGAGGGAGAGGAAGAAAUGAAGAAUUCUCAAUUUUCACCUGAGCAACUAGGUGGAUGGUAUCAUUUACUGAAACGGGGGAUACUUGGAAGGCAUGAAUCAAAGUUCCAUUUUGAAGAUGUUAAGUAUGAACAUUUCAGAUCCACACGAAUAUGUCAAAUAAAUUCUGAAGCUAUAAACUCAGGAGUCCUCUACAUAUAAAUGAAGCCACGGGGUUUACAGUGAUUUAGAGAAGAAGCUCAAGUCUGAGCUGUGGGGCCCAGUGUUGUUUAGAAUUCCAGUUGAAAAGGACGAGUCUGCAGGAAAGGGGUCAGAAGGGUCAUCCGGAAAUGUAAGAGAAAAACCAGGAAGUAUUAUACAAAAUACUGGAAGGCAGGAAAGGAGGGUGUUUUGAGACAAAGCAGCUGACAACAUUCAGAGUCUGACCAAUGGAUAGGGAAAAUAUCAGAAUGCCAACCUGUUUUUUUUCUGGUUCCCAUUUGUGUGCUCUGGUUCUGGGGCACUUCCUACGUCACUAGAAAUUCUCAGCUCAGACUUCAGCUUCCCUUGAAUGUGGAUCUACCCUAAAAUAUAGAAAAUGUCUCCAUGCCUAAUCCAGUUAUAUACACACACUCACCAUGCUCAUUCAUCCAAUCAUACAAUUAUUGAGUGCCUAUUAUUUGCCAGGCCUUGAGGAUAAGACAGUGAGGUGGGGAGAACUUAGUCCAGGCACUCAAGAAGCCCUCAAGAGCUUACAGUGUAUCAAAAGCACUACAUAGUUAUAAGCUGAGAUGUGCCAUGAAGGAAAAGCAUAGGGCACCAUGAGAGCCUGUCAGUGUCACCUUGUUUACAGUAUCCAUCUUUCAUACACAGAUCUCCACUGUGCCACAAGGCCACCCUGAACAGACUAGGGGACUGAGUCCUCCUAUAAAUGUGCCUGUUUCCUCUUCUCUACAAUGGAAGGCCAAAAGAUAACUGAAUCACAGGUUCUUAACUAAGGCCCAUGAAUGGGCUUCGGGGAUACACAAAUAAAUGGAAAAGUGUGCUUUUUUUUUUUCCUUGUGGACAGUAAACCCAUAGCUUUCAUCAGAUCCUUCAGAGGUGUUGUGACCCAAAAAAACCCAAGGACCUAAGGAUCAGACAAUUGUGUGAUGUGAGCCAGGACAGAUGACAAAAUGAUGCCCUUUGGAACUAUUUGUUUCUUGGAUACCAUACCCUUCCCUUGACCUUGUCAGCGUGUAGAGUUAUGGAAUAGAAGGCCUGAUCCCUCUUCUAUGGAUGGCUAAGCUUAGUAACUAUAUGAAGGAACCUUGGAGAAAGAAUGGCAGGAAUCUACCAUUGGUGGCCUCUCUCCUGGAACAAAACAAAAAAAGGUUCCCACCCCACAAAGGAAGUCUCUAUUACCCUAGUGUCACCUGCUCCAUGGUCACCUGCCCUGGGUCCACUCCAUCUGAUCCAUUCUUGGCUGCAGUAUAGACAUAAAUGUAUGUCCAUACUGGAGGCAAGAUUGGGAUGUUUAUACAAUGAAAUUUCCAUUAGAAACUAAAGAGAAUGCUCCCCGUCCAAAGAAAGCACUUUGAGAUUAACUGAUGUCUAUCAAUUAGAAAUUCUUGAUUCAGCUUGUCACAAUGUCUAGACAAAAGACAGGUGGUUUGGCAUGUCUUUUGGACAUUAAUAUCCUGUCUCUUCCUUGUCAUUUCUAAAGGGAGAGAUUCCCAUGGUUGCUUCUCUGAGGUCAGGUAGGUUUCCAGCCUUUUCAGAACCUGUGCCUUGGUCUCCUGCCAGUGGUUGGCCAUACUGUGGGAAAGAGAGGCACUUUCUUUGGGAUCUAAAAGGUUUCAGGUACAUGAGUUAGAGGUACGUGUGGGGUAGGAGAGACAAAAAGGCAGAGACAGCAGCCUGUGCAUAGCCAUUGUGUUUUAUUGGAUCUGGUGUAUUUCUUAUUUUACAAAAUAUACAGAGGAGCCAAAAAUGCAAAGCAGCCAACAGUGUUCUGAUGGGAAAGGGAGCUUCCUAGGGGCCCUUGCCCUCAGAUCCUAGCUAGUGGGACAAGCAGGUAUAGUAAGGAGUGGCAGCAUGGCAGGGGUGCUGUUGAUGAUAUGAGACCUGGAUCCUACGAUUCCUGCCUUCUAGGUGUGUUCAGGGGCAUCUCUGGGUAGAUUUAAUAGAGCAAGAGGAGACACUAGAUGGGAAUUGGGGAGGCUCUCUGGGAGGUUGAAAUAAAGCCUGGGUAGAACAAAUAUGCUAAUGAAUGCCCCCUCACUGGGUUUAGAUGCUAUGCCUGUUUCCCUCCUUCCCUUUUCUUCUAAUGCAUCCACUGGGUGGUCCUGACUCACUCUAUGCUGGUAGGCUGAACCUUUGGCAGGAAUCAGCCAGGACAUCUCCCAGCCAUAUUCUUCUGCUGCCAACAUACAAACAGGAAGGAAGGAGAGAAAAAAAUUCUAGGGAUGAGCCAGACUUCACAACCCCAGGAUCUCUUGGUAUACUGAACAUUGUGUGGAACAUUUCUGGGGUGUUUCUAAGGAACCAGGGUCUUCUGAAGAGCCUGGAAACUCAUAUUCUGGUGGCAGACCUGUAGAGCUCAGAGUCAUAGCCUCAGGUCUCACAAUCUCUAGGCCUUUCUGCUUUAUAUCCCAGCUACUUCCUAGGGCCGAGCCACUGCCUGAAGCCCGAGAGUUCUCCCUUGUCCCUCUCCUGUGGAGCUCUCUAAGGCCCUGCUCUGAAAGGCCAAUUAGUGCCAAAGACCUGUCUGAGAAGGGAGUCUUAAGGAAAAUGUUUAUGUUAACAGGGAUGGGGGAAGCACCGUAACAGGAGAAAUUUUGUCUAGUAUCGUGGCUUCUAGAGUGGGGUUUGGAAGUGGAGAACCACUUAAUUCCUUCAGCAGGGGCAUCCUUAGCACUGUCAGGGAGGGGGUGGAGCCAUUGGGAAUUGGGAAUACCAGCUGAUACACUCCGCCCACUCCCUGGCUCCUUCAGCUCCAAUGAUCUGAACCACCGAAUCCCCAGCCUCUUGGAUUCCUACAGGCCCUAGGGCAGGGAUAGGGUGAGGAGAGAGCUAGGAAGAGAAAGAUGAGGUCCAACUGGACUAGGGCUAGAGCAUGGUCCCGCCACAGGACAACUGACCCCCUCUCCUGGUGAACUAGAUGACAUUGUCAAAGAGCUGCAUGGACCUCAUGAUGUUCUCAUCCUGUAGCCAUGGUGUGAGAGAGGCAGAUUGGAGAAAGAAAGAAAAAGAGCUUGUCAGAGGCAGGGAGAGAGACACUGAGUCAUAAAUGAGGACAUUCAGAAAUGCAGAGAGGCAAUGAGGAAGGAGACACCCAGAGAGACCAGAGGUGAAGAAUGGCAGGCCUCCCCCAGUUGUGAAGGAACAGGAUUGGGAGUGGGGGUGAGUUAAGGAGCCUUCUCCUAUAUCAUUGAAUUAGGCCCUGAGUCCAGACCAGGAAUAUGGAGGGAGGGGACCUGUACCUUUUGACAAGAUUCAAUGAAUUCCUCAAUGGUCACCACGCCAUCCUUAUUCCUGUCCAUCUUCUGCAAAAAGGUAGUUUGGAGGGAGGGAGAACAGGAUGGAUGGCGGGAGAGAGGCAGGUAGAAUUCAGGCAAGUUCCCUACUGGGACCUCACCUUCUCUACACUCCAGGGCCCUCCAGCCUACCCAGUCCCAAGCACCUGGAAGAAGCUCUCCACAUGUUCCCUUGGGGCCUCCUCCCGGAGUGCAGGAUAUGUAUACUUGCCCAUCAUGUCAUAGAUGGACUUCAUGAUAUCAAGCAUUUCCUGUUGGACCAAGAAAAAAAGAGGGUCCCUCUUCAGAGCCUCUAGCCUCCAAACCAGGAGGCCUAGGCCCUAGCGCAGGCAUUAGCCUGCUGAUGAUGCAUAUGUGGGUGACAUUUCUUUCCUGUGGGCCUUUUGCACCCCCUUCCAGCUCUCCAGUUGCCUUGCACACCUCCUUGGUGAUGCAGCCGUCCUUGUUGAGGUCAUACAGGUUGAAGGCCCAGUUCAGCCUGUCAUCGAUGCUUCCCCGAAGAAUCACUGACAGACCAGCCACAAAGUCCUGAGGAGGAGGCAGGGAGGAAAACGUGUCUUUAGAGACCCUUUACCCAACCUGCUCUCUGGGGCUGGCCUAUACAUUCUGGCCCUGAAGUUCUAGGCCUCCCGGGCCCACCUCCUCCAGCUUACCUCAAAAUCGACUGAGCCAUCAUGGUUGGUAUCAAAGGCAUUGAAGAGAAAAGUGGCAUAUGUGCUAGAGUCUGUAGAAUAUGUGGGGGACAGUAAGCUUGACUUCCAGACAGCAGAGGGCUUCCUAUCUCUAUGGGGUUCCCCAAGCUUCUCAUCAUUUGGCAUUCCCAGCCCCUCCUGCCCCCCUCAGCCUAGAGAUGAACAGCUGCACCCUUUCAGGCCUGUCCCCUCACCUCCUUGAGGAAAGAACUGGGAGUAAAUCUGCUUGAAGUUCUCCUCAUUGACAAUUCCACUGGGACAUUCCUGGGGAAUGGGGAGACCAAGCUAAAGACAGACAAAACCCCCUUCUACUUACUCUUCUUCCUACCCCUCUCUCACCAUGCCCAGAGAUUCCCAGAGAAGGAAAAAUCUUCAUGGCUCCUGGAGGCUCACCAUGCAGCUUUUCUAAUGGGAGGCAAGACUUCUCCCAGUACACAAAUAAAAUGAGACAAAAUAAAAUAAAUAAAAUACAGAACUAA